GCGUUGAUGGUGCAGUGGUAGCCUUGUCGCUCUGCUUUCUCUGCCCGGCCGGCGGGGGAUCCUUCGCGACAACUCAGGUUCAAUUCCUGGUUGACGCC
Non-coding RNA from Mycena floridula, 98 nucleotides. The record is from the annotation of a GenBank genome assembly. Lineage: Eukaryota; Fungi; Basidiomycota; Agaricomycetes; Agaricales; Mycenaceae.